AGAAAGAGAUCUAGAUGCAUUUGCCUUCAGCAGUGUAGUUCUGGUCUAAUACAUUGAUGACCACCCACUGUGCUGGGACAUGCAAGAGGUCAAGGAUGCAUUCCAGGAAAGUUCCAUAAAAAUAUACCAUCAACUCCAACCUGAUAUUUGACCUAGCUGUGGAAAACCUCAUUGGCUCCUCACUAGAUCAGACCAUAAAAAUGAUUCAGGAAUGAAAAUCUAAGAUAAAUUCCCACCACUUCAAGAUGUUCUUAUACAAGUCAACAGUCUAGCAGAUCAGCCAGUCUCUUUCAUCAUCAAGCAGACAUACUCAAGAAAGAGGAAUAGUGAAGUGAAAUAUACAGAAGCAUGUUCAAGUUCAUCUGUUGAAUGUGGAAUUGUGAAUAGUGACAAUAUUGAGAAAAAUACUGACUCCAAUCUGCAAACUUCAACUUCAUUUGAGCCACAUUUCAAAAAAAAAAAAAAGAAAAAUUUGAAACAUUAAGGGAAAACAGUUGGGUAAAAGAUCCAUUUGCUUUUCGAAACCUUGAAUCAAUAAUUGAGCUAAACUUGGUGCCUGAAGAAGAGAAUGAAUUAUUGCAGCUUAGUUCUUCAUAUACAUUGAAGAAUGAUUAUGAGACCUUAAGUUUAUCAGCAUUUUGGAUGAAGGUAAAGGAAGACUUUCCAUUGUUAAGUAGAAAGAGUGUCCUGCUAUUACUACCAUUCACAGCAACUAGUUUGUGUGAACUAGGGUUUUCCAUCUUAACUCAGUUAAAAACAAAGGAAAGAAAUGGGCUGAAUUGUGCAGCAGCUAUGCGGGUAGCAUUAUCUUCCUGUGUUCCAGACUGGAAUGAACUUAUGAACAGGCAAGCACACCCAUCAUAGUAAAUAAAAAUCUUACCUAGU
RNAcentral lists this small RNA (885 nucleotides) under Pongo abelii (Sumatran orangutan). RNAcentral's name for it is "processed transcript". The record is from RNAcentral. Lineage: Eukaryota; Metazoa; Chordata; Mammalia; Primates; Hominidae.